UGGACUUUUUUCUCCGAUAUCCGAUCUCAUAUCCCUGCCGAACUGUUUUCUCCGCCGGACAUCUCCCGGCCGGUGUUAGUUUUGAAGGUUUGUAAUUUACAAAUUUAAGGUCUUUUGAUAUUGUAUAUGUGUUGAUCGAUAUAGUUUGUGAUAUGUUAUGUGUUGGUAUUUUCUUGUAGGCAUUUGCGGAUUAUUGGAAUUUGAGUUCGGCAGUUGAGUUCGAUAAUCUAAUUUGAGUUUGACGGAUCAAUGCAAUAAAUUUUAUUCAUUUGAAAUUAUUUAACUAUUAUGUUAGUUAUCAAUUAAUUAAUCUAAUUUGUAUGUUAAAUAAUUGGAAAAUGAAAUGCAUGUUCUUAAAUUGUGUGAAUUUAAAAUGAAUGCAAUUUUUUUGAAAUGAAUGCUGGUGAUACAGUAUCCCGAACCUGGUCACAACGACCUACCAGCAACUAGAAGUCUGGAUAGCCUAAGAUGAGUUAAGGUACCUAUUCUAGGGUUGGGGAGGUCCCAAGUCGAAUCCUAGGAAGAUCGACUUUCCUAAGGAUCGACUUUUGCGAAAAGUCGAUCCCAGGAAAGUCGAUCCCAAGAAAGUCGAUCCCAGGAAAGUCGAUCCCAAGAAAGUCGAUCUCUGGAAAGUCGACUUUGGGUCCCGAUCUGAUCAGUUAGGCAGUUAGGCGGUUACUGCCCAAAUGACCAGAUUACCCCCAUAAGAACCCCUAUAAAUAGAGGGCACCCCCCACUCAUUGGAGGCAAGUCAUUUGGAGUAGAAGAAUUCCUAGCGAAGCAGAGCUCUGCGCACUUUGAGUUCCGGUCCGGUUUCCCGUGGAGUUCCCCGCUUGGCGCUUGCUUGCGCGUCUUGGAGUACUGGUCGGGUUUCACCCCCAUCAGUUGGCGUCGUCUGUGAUUCAAAGAUACUCACGACAAAAGCUCCUCGACUUUUGCGAAAAAAGGGUUCGACUUUUUUCCAAGUCGCCAGCUAGGGAGUCUUGCGAGGAAAUCAGCUCGGCAAAGGAUCGACUUUUUAGAAGAAAGAAGAUCGACUUUUUCUCUCUCAAGGAUAAAAGUCGAUCCCUCAAGGAGCUUAAUCCCAAGGAUUGGGAUAGACUUUUUUCCCAACAUUGGGAUAGACUUUUUAAAAAAAAAUCCAAAGAAUUGGGAUAGACUUUUUAAAAAAAUCCCAACAUCGGGAUAGACUUUUUUAAAAAAUCCCAAGAAGUGAGAUAGACUUUAUAAAAAAAUCCCAAGGAUUGGGAUAGACUUUUUUCCCAACAUUGGGAUAGACUUUUUAAAAAAUCCCAAGAGUUGGGAUAGACUUUUUAAAAAAUCCCAACAUCGGGAUAGACUUUUUUUAAAAAAAUCCCAAGAAGUGGGAUAGACUUUUUUUAAAAAAAUCCCAAGAAGUGGGAUAGACUUUUUAAAAAAAUCCCAAGGAUUGUGAUAGACUUUUUUCCCAACAUUGUGAUAGACUUUUUAAAGAAUCCCAAGGAUUGGGAUAGACUUUAUUCCCAACAUUGGGAUAGACUUUUUAAAAAAAUCCCAAGGAUUGGGAUAGACUUUAUUCCCAACAUUGGGAUAGACUUUUUUAAAAAAUCCAAAGAAGUGGGAUAGACUUUUAAAAAAAAUCCCAAGAAUUGGGAUAGACUUUUUAAAAAAAUCCCAACAUCAGGAUAGACUUUUUUAAAAAAUCCCAAGAAGUGGGAUAGACUUUUUAAAAAAAAAUCCCAAGGAUUGGGAUAGACUUUUUUUCCAACAUUGGGAUAGACUUUUUAAAAAAUCCCAACAUCGGGAUAGACUUUUUUAAAAAAUCCCAAGAAUUAGGAUAGACUUUUAAAAAAAAAAAAAAUCCCAAGGAUUGGGAUAGACUUUUUUCCCAACAUUGGGAUAGACUUUUUUUUAAAAAAAAUCCCAAGAAUUGGGAUAGACUUUUUUAAAAAAUCCCAACAUCGGGAUAGACUUUUUUUAAAAAAAUCCCAAGAAGUGGGAUAGAUUUUUUAAAAAAAAUCCCAAGAAGUGGGAUAGAUUUUUUAAAAAAAUCCCAAGGAUUGGGAUAGACUUUUUUCCCAACAUUGGGAUAGACUUUUUAAAAAAAUCCCAAGGAUUGGGAUAGACUUUAUUCCCAACAUUGGGAUAGACUUUUUAAAAAAUCCCAACAUCGGGAUAGACUUUUUUAAAAAAUCCCAAGAAUUGGGAUAGACUUUUU
This 2197-nucleotide long non-coding RNA is filed under the name Zostera marina. Its description in RNAcentral is "long non-coding RNA (ZMAR_LNC003690)". Lineage: Eukaryota; Viridiplantae; Streptophyta; Magnoliopsida; Alismatales; Zosteraceae. The record is from RNAcentral.